This is a long non-coding RNA of Triticum aestivum (bread wheat), 268 nucleotides long. RefSeq lists it as uncharacterized. The transcript has 3 exons. Lineage: Eukaryota; Viridiplantae; Streptophyta; Magnoliopsida; Poales; Poaceae. The record is from RefSeq and is a predicted model, not a curated record.
CCUUACUUCCCUACAUGUAUUGCACAAAAACUGCAAGACCUAUAUAACACUAUUCAUCUCAUGUAUAUGUAGGCGAUGAUGAAGACUGUGAUGACAUGAUGGAUGCAUUUACAGCAGUUCCUGAUCCAUAUGAUCGUGUCUACGAGAAUAUACCUGUGAGAAGAUGGAUGAAGCCAGAGCUCGAGGGCCAACAUUGUUAGCAUAGAUGGUUUUGAGCAAACGACUAAAAGAAGAAAGGAGCUCUUUGAGGACUGUUGUGACAUAGAUC